UACGGGAGGCAGCAGUGAGGAAUAUUGGUCAAUGGGCGAGAGCCUGAACCAGUCAAGUCGCGUGAAGGAAGACAGUCCUAAGGAUUGUAAACUUCCUUUAUACGGGAGUAACGGGCGAUACGAGUAUUGCAUUGAAUGUACCGUAAGAAUAAGCAUCGGCUAACUCCGUGCCAGCAGCCGCGGUAAU
Molecule: ribosomal RNA, 187 nt
Filed under: uncultured Porphyromonas sp.
Lineage: Bacteria; Pseudomonadati; Bacteroidota; Bacteroidia; Bacteroidales; Porphyromonadaceae
Description: partial 16S ribosomal RNA
Rfam family: Bacterial small subunit ribosomal RNA
Source: RNAcentral